UACGGGGGGGGCAAGCGUUGUCCGGAUUUAUUGGGCGUAAAGAGCGUGUAGGCGGCCAGGUAGGUCUGCUGUGAAAACUCGAGGCUCAACCUCGAGACGUCGGCGGAAACCAUCUGGCUAGAGUCCGGAAGAGGAGAGUGGAAUUCCUGGUGUAGCGGUGAAAUGCGCAGAUAUCAGGAAGAACACCCGUGGCGAAGGCGGCUCUCUGGGACGGUACUGACGCUGAGACGCGAAAGCGUGGGGAGCGAACAGG
RNAcentral lists this ribosomal RNA (253 nucleotides) under uncultured bacterium. RNAcentral's name for it is "partial 16S ribosomal RNA". It matches the Rfam family "Bacterial small subunit ribosomal RNA", at positions 524 to 776 of the family's 1533-position model. The record is from RNAcentral.